AACGCACCUUGCGCCUCGUGGCUUUCCACGGGGCACGCCCGUUCGAGUGUCACGUUAACCCUCGCCAACCUGACGGUAAUGUCUGGGAAAGCGGACCUGGACGCUGCCGGUCGCCAGAUCGGCUCGUCUCAAAAUGCAUUAGCGGAGUGAGACGCGCGCGCGACGUUGAUAAUCGUCCACGCCUCGUGAGCGUCACACCUCGCUUCCAAUCGCCGUGAGGCAAUUUUCAAAGUUUGACCUCGAAUCGGGUGGGACUACCCGCUGAACUUAA
This 271-nucleotide unclassified non-coding RNA is filed under the name uncultured fungus. RNAcentral describes it as "partial contains 5.8S ribosomal RNA, internal transcribed spacer 2, and large subunit ribosomal RNA". Lineage: Eukaryota; Fungi. The record is from RNAcentral.